GUGCUUUUACAGAUGUCUUAACAUUCAUAGAAGGUUGUUUUCCCAGGGUGAGGCUCAUCCAUUGAACUCUAGAUGUGCUGACCCUGUGAGUUCCCCAAACAGGAAACUCCACUGUGUAAUUUGUAGUAGUAGAGGACUGCAUUCUUGUUCUCUCUUU
Molecule: small nuclear RNA, 157 nt
Organism: Peromyscus maniculatus bairdii (prairie deer mouse)
Lineage: Eukaryota; Metazoa; Chordata; Mammalia; Rodentia; Cricetidae
Gene: U1
Rfam family: U1 spliceosomal RNA
About the family: U1 is a small nuclear RNA (snRNA) component of the spliceosome (involved in pre-mRNA splicing). Its 5' end forms complementary base pairs with the 5' splice junction, thus defining the 5' donor site of an intron.
Source: Ensembl